CCACCGUAUAGACAAGACGUUUCACCUGUGGCCCCUCGUUAUUUUGUAAUAUUUCGUCUUGAAGAGCAGCAGCCAACCCCUGAGACUGUGUUGGUGAGCACAAUCUCAAUUAAUUCUCUCAGCGUCUGUUACAACCAAGAGAAUCUGCAAAAGAAUAAAUAAGUAAGUAUAACAGAUUUGUCGUGGUGCUGCUGUGUUUCGACGCCUGCUUGGUGAUUCACGGCACAGUGAAGCACUGACUGAAGCAGGACUAUGAUGGUCCCUCGGUAACCAAGACACUCCUUCAGUCCCAGGGAAAGCCCACCGAAGCGCCAUGGAAGUUGUUACGGAUCAACUUCAAUAAUCUCAAGCCUGGAGGGUAAACUGACUCAACUCACCAGGAGCCUUGAAUUCUCGCAAUCGGAAAUUCUCGACCUUAGGGUUAACAAGUUGCACAAGACUGAAGGUGAACCCCAACGUGAAGCCAUGAAGAAACGACUGACUGAGCCAGUCACACCUCUGUAACUAUCAGGAAGAUUACAGCCGUCGAAACAAGCUUCGGUUCAGUGGUGUUCAGUAACGUGUCAGUGGCGUCAGUGGGAACAAUCGGCAGCAGCUGUAUCAUUCCCUGCUGUAGGAUGAGCUGCAGCUGCCUGCUGUGAAUCUGGAGCGAGCUUACUGUGUAGGGCGGCCUCAGGAUAGACGGCUUCGCGCCAUAGCGACCCGCUUUGAUCGCUGCUCGGGUCGCGAGGAAAUGUUGCGGAACUCGAGGAAACUCCGAGGCACCGGGAUCGCAGUUAACGAAGAUUUGUGUCCGGUCUUACACAAGAGACAGUCAAGUGACUCUACUAAAACAAGCUAAAAGUUAAGAUAAAGUGAUAUAUUUUAAGCACACUAAGCUCAUUUUCAAGGACAGAGCUGAGCUGCCAAACUCAGGUGCUCGUGGUGGUGGCGUUGACGGAAUUGUUUUGCUUGUUUAGGCGACAUCCAGUGUCCAGAAUGUAACUACUGCUAACUUAGACAGGAGUGCUACUGGUGCUGCCAACACAUUAAUCACCCAAGCAGCUGUAGUAAGCAAGCAUCCUGAACAACUUGAGGGCCACUAAGUGACUACAGCAGGCCACUCUGCGUCUACAAGCAAUGUGGACGCUAGUGCCUCGGUACCUGCACCGGAAACUGUCUGUUUCACGCCGGGCCAGCAUCACAUCCCAAAGGUUGUGUGGAAUUACCAAUCCUGGCUGACCUUUCCUCGGAGUCUUCACAAAAGCCGGCGCCGUGUAUAUUUAGAGGCGACUCUUGGAAUGCAAGUACAAUUGACUGACUUGCGCUACAUACACAUUUCACCUAUAUUCUGGCAAAGUCUGCCGAGCCUCAUCUGCUACAGAAUUAUUUGUGUUGUGGAUAGUUGUCAUCAGAGGUCCAUCACGCUUGAUUGGAAACUAUCGCCUUUAAUGUGAAAAAUGUUGUAAAUACAAAACUCAAAUUAAAAAAGCGAGAAAUAAGAAUGUGAAUAGUUAAAAAAUAAUAAUAACAUCCAGUUAUAACGAUUUUAUGUGAUUUUAUGUGUAUUUGAGUAUGAAGUGAGUCGCAUAUUGCAAGGAAAAGUCAUUCACCUCACUUGCUUUCCUUAAAAUUUGGACUGGUUACCUGUUUUUUGGUUUUAUAUUCUCCAGUUGUAUAGAUCUAAGUUU
This is a long non-coding RNA of Scylla paramamosain (green mud crab), 1670 nucleotides long. RefSeq lists it as uncharacterized. The transcript has 3 exons. The record is from RefSeq and is a predicted model, not a curated record. NCBI's taxonomy places the organism in Eukaryota, Metazoa, Arthropoda, Malacostraca, Decapoda, Portunidae.